GACGAACGCUGGCGGCGUGCUUAACACAUGCAAGUCGAACGGAAAGGCCCUGCUUUUGUGGGGUGCUCGAGUGGCGAACGGGUGAGUAACACGUGAGUAACCUGCCCUUGACUUUGGGAUAACUUCAGGAAACUGGGGCUAAUACCGGAUAGGAGCUCCUGCUGCAUGGUGGGGGUUGGAAAGUUUCGGCGGUUGGGGAUGGACUCGCGGCUUAUCAGCUUGUUGGUGGGGUAGUGGCUUACCAAGGCUUCGACGGGUAGCCGGCCUGAGAGGGUGACCGGCCACAUUGGGACUGAGAUACGGCCCAGACGCCUACGGGAGGCAGCAGUGGGGAAUAUUGCACAAUGGGCGGAAGCCUGAUGAAGCAACGCCGCGUGCGGGAUGACGGCCUUCGGGUUGUAAACCGCUUUCGCCUGUGACGAAGCGUGAGUGACGGUAAUGGGUAAAGAAGCACCGGCUAACUACGUG
This 468-nucleotide ribosomal RNA is filed under the name uncultured bacterium. RNAcentral's name for it is "partial 16S ribosomal RNA". It matches the Rfam family "Bacterial small subunit ribosomal RNA", at positions 28 to 507 of the family's 1533-position model. The record is from RNAcentral.